AAGGGUGCGCAGGUGGCUUUUUAAGUUGGCUGUGAAAUCCCUCGGCUUAACCGAGGACGUGCAACCAAAACUGAAAAGCUUGAGUGUUGGAGGGGAAAGUAGAAUUUCUAGUGUAGCGGUGAAAUGCGUAGAUAUUAGAAGGAAUGCCAGUGGCGAAGGCGGCUUUCUAGACAAACACUGACACUGAGGCACGAAAGUGUGGGGAGCAAACAGGAUUAGAUACCCUGGUAGUCCGCACCGUAAAC
This 245-nucleotide ribosomal RNA is filed under the name uncultured bacterium. RNAcentral's name for it is "partial 16S ribosomal RNA". It matches the Rfam family "Bacterial small subunit ribosomal RNA", at positions 563 to 807 of the family's 1533-position model. The record is from RNAcentral.